This is a long non-coding RNA of Herpailurus yagouaroundi (jaguarundi), 644 nucleotides long. RefSeq lists it as uncharacterized. The transcript is spliced from 2 exons. The record is from RefSeq and is a predicted model, not a curated record. NCBI's taxonomy places the organism in Eukaryota, Metazoa, Chordata, Mammalia, Carnivora, Felidae.
CGGGUGACACGAUGUGGGGCAAAGCCCUCCUGAAGGUUAGCAAGUGUGGGCAAAGGCUGCAGAGACGCCCCUGACACUAAUGCAGGGGCGCCGGCCUGGCCGCGUCUGCAGCAGUCGGGACCCUCUGGGGCCCCGGUUGUUCCGGAAGGUCGAGUGUAACAGCGAGACCGUCUCCAGGGUGUGAGGCAAAUGACAGCACUAGUCAUCCGUAUCAUGUUCGACAGCACAAACGUACGUAACAAAAAUCUCCACGGAAAGAAACCGAGCACACGCUCUGCUCUCACCGGCCUCCUGAGCACGGCAGCUGUUCCGCGGUCUGUGGAACACGCGCCGCCUGUAAGUGGAUUUGGAGCCAGCUUCUGUUGGGGGUGACGUCUGCGGCUACCUUGCAGAGGCCUCGUCACCGGGUGUCUGGGCGUCCGUGAGAGCCUGAGAAAGCGACGUGGACGGAGGGUUUCUGCCAACACCAGCAUGAGCGCCGCUCCAGACGGUCCCCGCUCCCGGUGGCGGCAGCCGCGCUUGCAGACUCCCUGAUGCGUCCCCAGGCUCAGCUAAGGAGUUCCGUGAGAAGUCGGCCCUUGGACGCCCCCGCCCCUCUUGAGGCCGAGCCUCACAACUACAGUGAAUACACUCAGUUUCCAGUG